GAUCAAUGAUGAAGUGCAAGAAACACAGACUGAUCAUGAACUGCUUGAGAGAAGACAACAAUUCAAAAUGACAAACCAGCUACUAAUCACCCACACAGAUCAGUGAGUACAAUGAUGAUCAACAAAAAGAUCUUGAUGUGAUAGCUAACAUUACUAACAUCAACAUUGGAAGAUUUGAGACAAUAGUAAGGGAGAUGGAGCAGUAAAGUGUAAUGAUAAUAAAAAUACAGGAACAACAAACAACUCUUCGAAUGAAUCUCAGGAAAAUGGAAGUACUUCGAUAGAGAAAGGAC
This is a long non-coding RNA of Amphimedon queenslandica, 293 nucleotides long. RefSeq lists it as uncharacterized. The transcript is spliced from 4 exons. Lineage: Eukaryota; Metazoa; Porifera; Demospongiae; Haplosclerida; Niphatidae. The record is from RefSeq and is a predicted model, not a curated record.